GUGAGGAAUUUUCCGCAAUGGGCGAAAGCCUGACGGAGCAAUGCCGCGUGAAGGAUGAAGGCCUAUGGGUUGUAAACUUCUUUUCUCAGAAAAGAAUUAUGACGGUAUCUGAGGAAUAAGCAUCGGCUAACCCUGUGCCAGCAGCCGCGGUAAGACAGAGGAUGCAAGCGUUAUCCGGAAUGAUUGGGCGUAAAGCGUCUGUAGGUUGUUUAAAAAGUAUUCUGUCAAAGAUUAGGGCUUAACCCUAGAUAGGCAGAAUAAACUUUUAAGCUAGAGUUUGGUAGAGGCAGAGGGAAUUCCCGGUGGAGCGGUGAAAUGCGUAGAUAUCGGGAGGAACACCAAAGGCGAAGGCACUCUGCUGGGCCAAUACUAACACUGAGAGACGAAAGCGAGGGGAGCAAAUGGGAUUAGAUACCCGGGUAGUCC
This 426-nucleotide ribosomal RNA is filed under the name uncultured bacterium. RNAcentral's name for it is "partial 16S ribosomal RNA". It matches the Rfam family "Bacterial small subunit ribosomal RNA", at positions 354 to 796 of the family's 1533-position model. The record is from RNAcentral.